RNAcentral lists this transfer RNA (65 nucleotides) under Methana sp. AUS1. RNAcentral's name for it is "tRNA-Asp". Lineage: Eukaryota; Metazoa; Arthropoda; Insecta; Blattodea; Blattidae. The record is from RNAcentral.
GAAGUUUUAGUUAAAAAAUAACAUUAUUUUGUCAAAAUAAAAUUAUCUACUAAAGAUAAAUUUCU